This 671-nucleotide ribosomal RNA is filed under the name uncultured bacterium. RNAcentral describes it as "bacterial SSU rRNA". It matches the Rfam family "Bacterial small subunit ribosomal RNA", at positions 9 to 683 of the family's 1533-position model. The record is from RNAcentral.
GAGUUUGAUCAUGGCUCAGGAUGAACGCUAGCGGCAGGCUUAACACAUGCAAGUCGAGGGGUAUAGUUCUUCGGAAUUAGAGACCGGCGCACGGGUGCGUAACGCGUAUGCAAUCUACCUUUCACAGAGGGAUAGCCCAGAGAAAUUUGGAUUAAUACCUCAUAGUAUAACGACUCCGCAUGGAGAUGUUAUUAAAGUCACAACGGUGAAAGAUGAGCAUGCGUCCCAUUAGCUAGUUGGUAAGGUAACGGCUUACCAAGGCUACGAUGGGUAGGGGUCCUGAGAGGGAGAUCCCCCACACUGGUACUGAGACACGGACCAGACUCCUACGGGAGGCAGCAGUGAGGAAUAUUGGACAAUGGGCGCAAGCCUGAUCCAGCCAUGCCGCGUGCAGGAUGACGGUCCUAUGGAUUGUAAACUGCUUUUGCACAGGAAGAAACAACGCUACGUGUAGCGUCUUGACGGUACUGUGAGAAUAAGGAUCGGCUAACUCCGUGCCAGCAGCCGCGGUAAUACGGAGGAUCCAAGCGUUAUCCGGAGUCAUUGGGUUUAAAGGGUCCGUAGGCGGUUUAGUAAGUCAGUGGUGAAAGCCCAUCGCUCAACGGUGGAACGGCCAUUGAUACUGCUAGACUUGAAUUAUUAGGAAGAACUAGAAUUGUAGUGUAGCGGUG